This 497-nucleotide ribosomal RNA is filed under the name uncultured bacterium. Its description in RNAcentral is "partial 16S ribosomal RNA". It matches the Rfam family "Bacterial small subunit ribosomal RNA", at positions 28 to 507 of the family's 1533-position model. The record is from RNAcentral.
GAUGAACGCUGGCGGCGUGCCUAAUACAUGCAAGUCGAGCGAACGGACGAGAAGCUUGCUUCUCUGAUGUUAGCGGCGGACGGGUGAGUAGCACGUGGAUAACCUACCUAUAAGACUGGGAUAACUUCGGGAAACCGUAGCUAAUACCGGAUAAUAUUUUGAACCGCAUGGUUCAAAAGUGAAAGACGGUCUUGCUGUCACUUAUAGAUGGAUCCGCGCUGCAUUAGCUAGUUGGUAAGGUAACGGCUUACCAAGGCAACGAUGCAUAGCCGACCUGAGAGGGUGAUCGGCCACACUGGAACUGAGACACGGUCCAGACUCCUACGGGAGGCAGCAGUAGGGAAUCUUCCGCAAUGGGCGAAAGCCUGACGGAGCAACGCCGCGUGAGUGAUGAAGGUCUUCGGAUCGUAAAACUCUGUUAUUAGGGAAGAACAUAUGUGUAAGUAACUGUGCACAUCUUGACGGUACCUAAUCAGAAAGCCACGGCUAACUACGCG